Molecule: long non-coding RNA, 1292 nt
Filed under: Physcomitrium patens
Lineage: Eukaryota; Viridiplantae; Streptophyta; Bryopsida; Funariales; Funariaceae
Description: long non-coding RNA (PPAT_LNC009945)
Source: RNAcentral
UACAAUACUAUUUUCUAAAAAGUAAAAGAUUAUAAGUCUUAAUAUAAUUAUUUCGGGUUUUUUUUUUUUUUUUUUUUUUUUAGUUUUGAAUUUUGGAUUAGACAAACCUCAAUCGCAUAGUAAAUGGUUAGUUUUAAUGGCAGCUUCACAAACUUCAUCCAACCAUACAGAUAACAUUAGUGAGUCUCUUCCAAAAGAUUAUAUUGCAAGCCACAGAUGUUUUCUUUGAGGAAAACGACAAGAAAGAACGUUGUGGACAAAGAAACAGUGAAGGCAAAGAUAGUUUAUCUUCCCUCCCAUGUACUCAAAGACUGUUUUGUGGGUGGAUAAGUCCUCUUACUUCCACAUGCACACACAUAAGACAGAAAAGAUAAAUAAAUAAAACAAAUAAACAUGGAAACAACUUAGAAUCCUGCAGAUCGGAAGGAGUAACGAUGAGAGCUCUCCAGCAGUUAGGAACAAUCCAACGGAACUCUCAAACAUGGAGACAAGUGAAUGAUCUCCCCAUAUAGCAUUCAACCCUUACCAAACACGUAACGUCUUCAGACACGGAGAUUGGGAUCCAAGCGCGGCCGCAAAGAACACCAUUGGAUUACCAGAAAAUCAUAUCUUACCUGCAACAGCCACCACACGCACCCUCUGACAACCAAAACAUACGUUACAGAAGUGGAUGCAGUAGAACCAAACCAACUCUCUUAGAUUCCACAGACACUGGACAAGACUGCGGUAGACAGUUUAGUGGCUGCUGACGAAAUAUAAUUUGGAGACCAUGACGCCCUCGUCCAGACAUGUAUGUGUGGUACAUCCAUAUACCAGAGGAGCAGAAUCAAACAACAAGUCAAAUUAAGUAGCUGUUCUGUUUACAAAUCGAACAUCUGAAUUAGCCCCAACAAGCCAAUUAGCUCAAAACUCAGAAACAUGCGGCAAGAUCUCAGCUACGAAUUUGAAGCCCGGCACUAGAACUAAUGAGGAGGUUAUGAUGGUUGAGGCCACGCAAGACAACGUCGAAGAGCCAUGUAUGAGGGACCAAGAAACACAUGACGAGCCACAGCAUGUCACGGCUCCUGAGAAAUGGAACUCUUCUGCGAUACAGUAGACUCCACGUAAACUCUCAGGUGAGAAAUGUAGCCUAGUCAGGGCCAUGGUAGCAAGAUGCAGUCAAGACGAGGCGUGGUCCGAGGAGGACUCCGAAGAAACUAAACAUGUCUACAUCGCGAGGAGCCACAGAUACGAGCAUGGUGCUUAAAAACCACAGGGAAAUAGAAUCGAAACGACUAAAGCAAAUCAGAAAC